UACGUAGGGUGCGAGCGUUGUCCGGAAUUAUUGGGCGUAAAGAGCUCGUAGGUGGUUUGUCGCGUUGUUCGUGAAAACCGGGGGCUUAACCCUCGGCGUGCGGGCGAUACGGGCAGACUUGAGUACUGCAGGGGAGACUGGAAUUCCUGGUGUAGCGGUGAAAUGCGCAGAUAUCAGGAGGAACACCGGUGGCGAAGGCGGGUCUCUGGGCCGAUACUGACGCUGAGGAGCGAAAGCGUGGGGAGCGAACAGG
RNAcentral lists this ribosomal RNA (253 nucleotides) under uncultured bacterium. Its description in RNAcentral is "partial 16S ribosomal RNA". It matches the Rfam family "Bacterial small subunit ribosomal RNA", at positions 524 to 776 of the family's 1533-position model. The record is from RNAcentral.